GGUUGCAUCCAUUCGUGGGCUGAAAAAUUGGUGGCUGGUCGCAGCACUCCCUUGCCGCUCACGGCAAUUGGAGUGUAGCCCUGACAUGCAGACGAGGACAAAGUGCUUCUGUUCGACCCGUCUUGAAACACGGACCAAG
RNAcentral lists this ribosomal RNA (139 nucleotides) under Prorocentrum lima. RNAcentral's name for it is "partial large subunit ribosomal RNA". Lineage: Eukaryota; Dinophyceae; Prorocentrales; Prorocentraceae. The record is from RNAcentral.